Salarias fasciatus (jewelled blenny) is the source of this 4380-nucleotide long non-coding RNA. NCBI's taxonomy places the organism in Eukaryota, Metazoa, Chordata, Actinopteri, Blenniiformes, Blenniidae. The record is from Ensembl.
GCUUCAUUUUGAUGAAUCACCAUUAGUGUAAAAGGUACAUUUCUUAAAGUCCACAUCUUUUAAAAUCCAUCUGUGGUUUUUUUGCAGGUGUCUCAAGCUUAUUUCAACCAGCACUCUGCCUUCCCUCUGGAUCUCCUCAAGAGUGACUCGACUCCAACUUUAGUAACAGACAGCAACGGUAACCACUUCCUCAUUGCCCUGACCAGUCACAUCAAUGGAAACCAGAACGUCGAGACUUCUGAGGGGAAAGCAGCAAAUCACAUUACACUGCAGACACAUAACGGAGGACUCCAGGUUCCUGCAGACCAACCGCAGCAGGGAGCAGCUCAGUGUUUGUCAGCACCGCCCACUCUGCCAUCUUUUCUCAAGGACCAGGACGCUGCUCCCUCAGGGAAAAACACCUCGCCGCCUUCCUCUCAAGCUGAUGUGUGUCACAGUUUCGAUGCCCUGUUCAGUCCUUUGUCUCCAGCGUCUAUUCAGACAGCAACCUCCUCAUCUGACGACAAACAGGAUACAGAGCACGAAGAAGAUUUUAUCGAUGCCAUUAUGCAGACAGGAGGUAAAAUUCAGCGCAGUUGUUUUUUUCAAUUUCUUCUACAAACUUCCUUUACUUUACAGUAUAGAACUCCUUUAUUUUUUCACUUUCAGACACAUCCACCAAACUGACACAAGACUCAUCUCUGCACUGUCUGUACGCCAACUCCCCAGCUCCAACUCCCAUUCCUUCACCGCUCCACCAGUUGCUGUCUCCCCCAUUCCCUCAGCCGGAUCGCUCGGAGCAGCCCGAGCCUCCGGCUCCGGAUUUUCUCAGAGAAGAGAGACAACACCCCAGUCGCGCAGCAAGUGGUCGCUUAGAGGAUUUCCUGGAAAGCACCACUGGAAAGCCUCUCCUCGGGGUGGAGCCCGGGGGCCUGUUGACUGUGAUUGACGACCUCAACAGCCAGAUGCUGUGCACCCCGAGCAUCCUGGACCACCUCCCGUCUCCCAUGGACACCUUCGACAUGGUGGCUGAGGAUGAACAGGGGCUGGACAACAUGGACUGGCUGGACUUCACCAUGGAGAAAGAAAAAGAGCAGGAAAUACCCGCACUGGCCCCGCUGGGCCCCCAAACGCCCCCUAGUGUCUUUUCCACAGACUUCCUGGAUAGCUAUGACCUAUACAUACACUGGGACUCCUGUUUAUAGCAGGAACACAUCGACCAUCAAACACACACACAUACACACGCAGCCAGUGGUCUGCCGAGGUUUCACUGCUUCAUUAUAGCACUGUUCACAUCAAACAGCCUGAGUGAUGUGUUUGCAAGUUUUUCCUCAAAUACGACUGCACUAAAGACACGCUGAGGACACCCCCGAUCACAUUUGGCGAUGGCGUGCCCACAUGCGGCUACAACACUCCAGAAGUGCAUGCAUAAGUGUUUCCUAAGUCACACUCCAGGACUGCCUGCCCAACGGGCAUACCGUGUCCAAGCAACACAAGUAAAAAUAGGAUGAUAAUCUUCUACGUUUUUGCUGAGCACAGUUGAACUGUCCAAACUGAGCACAAGCUGAACCGUGAGACGGCAGGAAGUCAGUGGUUUGUUCAGUAAUUAUCUGAUUUAGCAAAUAUUCUGAGCUUAAAUGAAAGUGAUUGGUUUCUGGCUGAGCAUCGUCCAGUGAACUCAUGUUCAGAGACAUUGUUUUGCUGAACAUCCAUCCAUAUUAUUUAAUAGGACAUAGCAUUCAAUAGAACAGACUAUAAACUUCAGACUUUGAGUAAUAAGAUAUUUUGGUCUGUGCCCCUUCAAGAGCGCACCUUCACCAGCAGAUCUUUGGAUUGCAGGAAACAUCUGGUUUAAAGCUCCAAGAAACGCCAGCCUGAGUCCUCACAAAAAACCCCUAAUUGAACUGAUGUUGCAUUCAAAUGCAGCUUGUCUGACCAAGGACGCUUCACUUUCUUAAAGGCCUGCUGCUGUAUUAGUUUACAUGUUUAUCCUCACAAUGUAUUUGUUUGUUUACCUGCCUGUGAAAGGGUGAGAUGAGAUUUGAAAAAGGGUCGGUUAAGAAGCAUUCAAAUGCUGCGUGUUGCACAGAAGGUCCCGUCUGUAUCGACUCACACAUCAGCUUAUUGAAUCUUCAAGCACUUUGACCUUUAUUUAUUUUACUUACACACUGCCUCAUUGAUUUUUCAGGCACUUAUUAGGCCGGCCUGCUAUGAGUUCUUUAGCAACGCUUGUGUUAACACAUAAAAUGGACUUUUAAGUGGGACUCUGUCUUACUUUUCUUUGUAGUUGGCUCAUCUGACCUUUUUCUAAUUAGAAAGUAAAGUUGUUUUUAGCUGCCUUUUGUGGAAAAGGUAAUCAAUACUCGACAUUUACUCUGAAAGGAUAGACGUACUUGAAGAAGUUAUGUAAAGACAACAAACCGUUCAUCGGAUUGAGUUUAUAUGCUAACACAAGUCUGGAAUGUAACAGGUAGCGAAGAAGGGUUAUAUGUCAAGAGUCUCUGUAUUUUUGUUAUGACAGCUUUGUCAUACAGUUUAAAAAUUAUGAAGGGAAAAAGCACCAUUGGGGUGUCUUGUUUUUUUAUUUUUUAUUUUUUUGCAGCCUUAAUCUUGCAGGAUAAAGACAUCACAAAAAAAGAUUGUCAUCACCUUAAGUGAUGUCUAAAAACCAAUUGCACAAACCCCUGAGGCAUUGCUUAAUUAAAGCUUUUACCCCAAAAAGAAGAAACAUCUAAAACUGAAAAAAAAAAGUGAGAAGCAAUAAAUUGACAGACUUAAAUAUGAAUGCAGAGAGCCUGUUUUAUUCUCAGACCACCCAGCUUUAAUUAUAUUUUAAUGUGUGAAAGGAAAUUAAUUAAUGUGUGAUUAAUUAAGAUUAAAACUAGCUGACAGGAUAAAAACUACUAAUGGGAGUUCAGAAAAAUAAAACCCCUUAUGAUUUUAUUCACAAAUGCUGAAUGCAGUGAUUGACUCGUUUUUUUUUUAAGGAGUCCAUGUGAGCACUGAGAUGUGACAUGUUGAUACUGCGAACAAAUAAAGAAAACUUGAACAUACUUUUUUUUGGCACAGCUUUAAAGAGACGAUUAAAUUGUUACUUUGUGGAUUUUCAACUGUUAGAUGUUUGAGUCAUUGUUAAUUAAAAAAACAAUGGAUUUUGUAAAUUUUACCAACAUAUUUAGAUUUUUAGUUUGUUUCCUGUGUGAAAACUUCUGAAUGUGAAUUUUUUUAGAGUUAUUCUACACUGAACAAAACUAUAAAUGCUACUCUGUUGUUCUUACUCCAUUUUUUUUAAAUGAGCUGAAGUCAAAGCCUAUUUUCAGAAGAGACCCAUUUCUCCCACGAAUUAUUUACACAUGUGCCUAAAUCUGAUAGCCAAUUGCACACGUCCUCAAGACUUGCAACAUCAGUGUCAUUGUGCUUUUUGAUGCUUUUUGAUGACACUGGGGUUUUAACAGUGUGCUUUUAUUUUGGCGAGCCUGUGUAAUAAUCCUGCAGUCGACCUGUGAGGUGGAUGGAUCAUCUCAGCAAAGGAAGAACUCACUGACAGACUUCUGAACCAAUAUUUGAGAGAAAAAGACCUUUUGUGUACAAAAUGACUCAAGUCUUUGAUUUUAGCUCAUGAAAAAUGGGAGCAAAAACAAAACUGUUGCAUUUUUGUUUUAGCUUAGUGUAUAAUGAUUUGCACAACAUGACUGAAAUGCUCAGGAUGCUUCAUGCUUAUACAUGAAAUGCUUUAGAUGCUCAUUAUGAGAAAACACAUUGUUGAGAUGAUGUUGUUAGUUGUAAAUAUUUUGCUGAUACUUUUAUGCUAUUGUGUACUGCAUCAGUACUUUUGGUAGAUAAAAAAAAAAACUUUUUUCGUCUUUAAGAUUUUACUGAAGCUGGAUGUAAGAUAAAUCUCCAGAUAAGGACAAUAUAUUAUAAGUCACUCUUAUUUUUAUUUUUUUCCUGCGUGUCACUCCUCUACUGUAAAAACUCUGGUGAAAAGAGAAAAUAGCUACAUUAAAAUAGUUUGCAUUGGCUGAAUUGAUUGUCACAUGUUAUCUAUUUGCAGGUUUCCCCUCAUGCGAUAUCAUCUUAAUGGUGCAGUUACAUCUUUAAUCCUCUGGUUUGUUUGCAUGUUCACCCAGUGAGACAGUGAUGCUGGAUUUAGUGUUUACACGGUGCUUCACCCUCGAUUUUGUGACUCUGCCUGUACACACUCGGUGCUUAAAGGAAUCUGACAACAAAUUAAAAAUGAUUGUAGCUGAUAACAGUCAUCGUACAAUGAAUCCAGGCUGUAAACUCAGAUAUAAUCAUGUUUUUGAGUUACACACCUCUCAUUUGUGCUCUGGAUUCUGUACAGUUUAAAUGCCAGAUGCGAUACACAGAUAUAGACCCCUUAAACUUUGUCAAACUAAU